This 227-nucleotide ribosomal RNA is filed under the name uncultured eukaryote. RNAcentral's name for it is "partial 18S ribosomal RNA". It matches the Rfam family "Eukaryotic small subunit ribosomal RNA", at positions 1208 to 1456 of the family's 1831-position model. The record is from RNAcentral.
GGAAAACUUAUCAGGUCCAGACAUAGUGAGGAUUGACAGAUUGAUAGCUCUUUCUUGAUUCUGUAGGUGGUGGUGCAUGGCCGUUCUUAGUUGGUGGAGUGAUUUGUCUGCUUAAUUGCGCUAACGAACGAGACCUUUACCUGCUAAAUAGUUGGUGCUUGCUUUGGCAAGCUCCCGCUUCUUAGAGGGACUUUGCGUGUUUAACGCAAGGAAGUUAGAGGCAAUAA